This is a non-coding RNA of Cicer arietinum (chickpea), 861 nucleotides long. Lineage: Eukaryota; Viridiplantae; Streptophyta; Magnoliopsida; Fabales; Fabaceae. The record is from RefSeq and is a predicted model, not a curated record.
UAUAGUCACUUUGUUUUAUUUUAUUUUAUUUUAUGUUUUCGCUCUGUUUAAGUAUGUAUGGAUAAGCAAUUUCUGCUUUCUUGUCUGCUUUGGAUUGCAGUCCUGAUGAUACUCCUUGGGAUGGAGGCACGUUUAAGUUGACCCUUCAAUUUACUGAGGAUUAUCCAAACAAGCCGCCCACUGUACGAUUUGUCUCCCGAAUGUUUCACCCAAACAUUUAUGCAGAUGGAAGUAUUUGUCUGGAUAUAUUGCAAAACCAGUGGAGUCCUAUAUAUGAUGUAGCUGCUAUACUCACUUCUAUUCAAGUAUCAUCUAAUAAAGUGUAAUCAAUAAUAUAUUAUGAUUAUCAAAUCCUGAAUUGGAAGUGAUACUUUCAAUUUCAUUGCUUUGUGAUCCCAACCCAAAUUCACCUGCAAACUCUGAAGCUGCUCGAAUGUUCAGUGAGAACAAGCGUGAGUACAAUCGAAGAGUGAGGGAAAUUGUGGAGCAAAGUUGGACAGCCGACUAAGCUCAUCUCGAUAUGCUCGCUGGCCUGUGAAGGCAUGAAUUAGAUUGCAUUGCUACCUAUGAUUCAUGCAAAGUCACCAAAAUCUGUCGUCCGUAUUCCUUGUUUUGAAUAUUAGCUUCAUAUUAUCUUUAUUUCAUGGUAGUUUAUGCAUCGUCCAUGUCAGUCUAUGUAAUAUAAAAUUAAAAUUCUGUCAACUUGCAUCGGGUUGUUGUCAACACGGUUCAAUGUAUAAGUUGUAGACUUGUAAUCAUCUGAAUUGGCCAUGAUCACAAGGAUUUAUUAAACCAGGUUCAAUUAUGAUUACAUUGUAUAAUUUCCCCCAUUCAAUGUUCGAUUGACUUUUGCUACCAGUA